Molecule: ribosomal RNA, 450 nt
Filed under: uncultured bacterium
Lineage: Bacteria
Description: partial 16S ribosomal RNA
Rfam family: Bacterial small subunit ribosomal RNA
Source: RNAcentral
GUGGGGAAUAUUGGACAAUGGGCGAAAGCCUGAUCCAGCCAUGCCGCGUGUGUGAAGAAGGUCUUCGGAUUGUAAAGCACUUUAAGUUGGGAGGAAGGGCAGUAAGUUAAUACCUUGCUGUUUUGACGUUACCGACAGAAUAAGCACCGGCUAACUUCGUGCCAGCAGCCGCGGUAAUACGAAGGGUGCAAGCGUUAAUCGGAUUUAAUGGGCGUAAAGCGCGCGUAGGUGGUUUUGUAAGUUGGAGGUGAAAUCCCCGGGCUCAACCUGGGAACUGCCUCCAAAACUGCAUGACUAGAGUACGGUAGAGGGUAGUGGAAUUUCCUGUGUAGCGGUGAAAUGCGUAGAUAUAGGAAGGAACACCAGUGGCGAAGGCGACUACCUGGACUGAUACUGACACUGAGGUGCGAAAGCGUGGGGAGCAAACAGGAUUAGAUACCCCGGUAGUCC